AUCUUUUUGCAUUGCCUAGUGAAUCUGCUACAAAGGCUUUAAAAGCUGCAGAAGUAGCUCAAAGACGGGUUGAGAAAGAAAGACAAAAGAAGAUGGAACUUGAUGCUAUUGCUAAAAGAAUGCAAGAAGAUGCUGCACGUA
This is a non-coding RNA of Physcomitrium patens, 141 nucleotides long. Lineage: Eukaryota; Viridiplantae; Streptophyta; Bryopsida; Funariales; Funariaceae. The record is from RefSeq and is a predicted model, not a curated record.